This is a long non-coding RNA of Oncorhynchus keta (chum salmon), 359 nucleotides long. RefSeq lists it as uncharacterized. Lineage: Eukaryota; Metazoa; Chordata; Actinopteri; Salmoniformes; Salmonidae. The transcript has 3 exons. The record is from RefSeq and is a predicted model, not a curated record.
UAACACAGUGAAGUAGGGUCAUGGGACAGGGUCAGAAAGGUCAUUAUAACACAGUGAAGUAGGGUCAUGGGACAGGGUCAGAAAGGUCAUUAUAACACAGUGAAGUAGGACCAUGGGACAGGGUCAGAAAGGUCAUUAUAACACAGUGAAGUAGGACCAUGGGACAGGGUCAGAAAGGUCAUUAUAACACAGUGAAGUAGGACCAUGGGACAGGGUCAGAAAGGUCAUUAUAACACAGUGAAGUAGGACCAUGGGACAGGGUCAGAAAGGUCAUUAUAACACAGUGAAGUAGGACCAUGGGACAGGGUCAGAAAGGUCAUUAUAACACAGUGAAGUAGGGUCAUGGGACAGGGUCAGAA